GACGAACGCUGGCGGCGCGCUUAACACAUGCAAGUCGAACGGAAAGGCCUGCUUUCCCUUGUGGAUUGCGGGUACUCGAGUGGCGAACGGGUGAGUAACACGUAAGUGAUCUGCCCCCAACUUGGGUAUAAGCCUGGGAAACUGGGUCUAAUUCCCGAUAGGACUGCAGGGUGGUGCCUGUGGUGGAAAACGAUUUUCUAGUGGUUGGGGAUGAGCUCGCGGCCUAUCAGCUUGUUGGUGGGGUAAUGGCCUACCAAGGCGGCGACGGGUAGCCGGCCUGAGAGGGUGGACGGCCACAUUGGGACUGAGAUACGGCCCAGACUCCUACGGGAGGCAGCAGUGGGGAAUAUUGCACAAUGGGCGGAAGCCUGAUGCAGCGACGCCGCGUGGGGGAUGACGGCCUUCGGGUGGUAAACUCCUUUCGACCGCGAGGAAGCCACCUGGUUGGAAGGGUGGUGACGGUAGUGGUAGAAGAAGCACCGGCUAACUACGUG
This 494-nucleotide ribosomal RNA is filed under the name uncultured bacterium. RNAcentral describes it as "partial 16S ribosomal RNA". It matches the Rfam family "Bacterial small subunit ribosomal RNA", at positions 28 to 507 of the family's 1533-position model. The record is from RNAcentral.